This 104-nucleotide small nucleolar RNA is filed under the name Gorilla gorilla gorilla (western lowland gorilla). RNAcentral's name for it is "Small nucleolar RNA U13". It matches the Rfam family "Small nucleolar RNA U13". Lineage: Eukaryota; Metazoa; Chordata; Mammalia; Primates; Hominidae. The record is from Rfam by way of RNAcentral.
AUCCUUUUGUAGUUCUUAAGUGUGAUGAUUGGGUUUUCAUGCUCAUGUGUGAAAUGUGCCUUUCUCAAACCUUGUUAUGACACUGGCACACUACCUGUGUGACG